This 70-nucleotide transfer RNA is filed under the name Camelus bactrianus (Bactrian camel). It matches the Rfam family "tRNA". From Rfam's summary of the family: Transfer RNA (tRNA) molecules are approximately 80 nucleotides in length. RNAcentral also lists the same sequence under 2 other names. The record is from Rfam by way of RNAcentral. Lineage: Eukaryota; Metazoa; Chordata; Mammalia; Artiodactyla; Camelidae.
GGGUAUAGCUGAGUGGUAAACGGUGCACUUAGCAUGCAUGAGGACCUGGGUUCGAUCCCCAGUAUGUCCA